UACGGAGGGGGCUAGCGUUAUUCGGAAUUACUGGGCGUAAAGCGCACGUAGGCGGCUUUGUAAGUAAGAGGUGAAAGCCCGGAGCUCAACUCCGGAACUGCCUUUUAGACUGCAUCGCUUGAAUCCAGGAGAGGUGAGUGGAAUUCCGAGUGUAGAGGUGAAAUUCGUAGAUAUUCGGAAGAACACCAGUGGCGAAGGCGGCUCACUGGACUGGUAUUGACGCUGAGGUACGAAAGCGUGGGGAGCAAACAGG
This 253-nucleotide ribosomal RNA is filed under the name uncultured bacterium. Its description in RNAcentral is "partial 16S ribosomal RNA". It matches the Rfam family "Bacterial small subunit ribosomal RNA", at positions 524 to 776 of the family's 1533-position model. The record is from RNAcentral.